UACGAAGGGGGCGAGCGUUGUUCGGAAUUACUGGGCGCAAAGGGCGCGUAGGCGGCCGAGCUAGUCAGAUGUGAAAGUCCUGGGCUUAACCUGGGGACUGCAUUUGAUACUGCUUGGCUUGAAUGCAGGAGAGGAUAGCGGAAUUCCCAGUGUAGAGGUGAAAUUCGUAGAUAUUGGGAAGAACACCGGUGGCGAAGGCGGCUAUCUGGACUGUGAUUGACGCUGAGGCGCGAAAGCGUGGGGAGCAAACAGG
Molecule: ribosomal RNA, 253 nt
Filed under: uncultured bacterium
Lineage: Bacteria
Description: partial 16S ribosomal RNA
Rfam family: Bacterial small subunit ribosomal RNA
Source: RNAcentral